UAUGAGCUCGAAAAUGAACAUCACACAGCACAGAUUUGGAGUCCAGAAGUAAACUGGCAAAAGUAUAUGAGGAAAUUCAACAAUACCUUACCAAGGUGGCCAAGUAAACUUAGCUGAAGAAGGAAGCAAAGAUAUUAACAACGCACCAAAGCAUCUUGCUGAGUCAAAGUCCAAGGGGAUAAGAAGUCUCAAGUUAGGACUCUGGAAAAAUUGGAAUCAAGGAACGGAUCACUAUCAGA
RNAcentral lists this long non-coding RNA (239 nucleotides) under Homo sapiens (human). RNAcentral's name for it is "HSALNT0080789". Lineage: Eukaryota; Metazoa; Chordata; Mammalia; Primates; Hominidae. The record is from RNAcentral.